Molecule: transfer RNA, 64 nt
Filed under: Oberea yaoshana
Lineage: Eukaryota; Metazoa; Arthropoda; Insecta; Coleoptera; Cerambycidae
Description: tRNA-Leu
Rfam family: tRNA
About the family: Transfer RNA (tRNA) molecules are approximately 80 nucleotides in length. Their secondary structure includes four short double-helical elements and three loops (D, anti-codon, and T loops). Further hydrogen bonds mediate the characteristic L-shaped molecular structure. tRNAs have two regions of fundamental functional importance: the anti-codon, which is responsible for specific mRNA codon recognition, and the 3' end, to which the tRNAs corresponding amino acid is attached (by aminoacyl-tRNA synthetases). tRNAs cope with the degeneracy of the genetic code in two manners: having more than one tRNA (with a specific anti-codon) for a particular amino acid; and 'wobble' base-pairing, i.e. permitting non-standard base-pairing at the 3rd anti-codon position.
Source: RNAcentral
GUUAUUUUGGCAGAAUAGUGCGAUUGAUUUAGAAUCAUUUUAUGUAAUUUAUUUACAGGUAAUA